CGGAACAGUGUCAUGUCAUACCACACUGAGGCAUCUCUGUGGCCCAGCAAGAAAUAGUGAAGACAGAGGAGCAGCCUGAGAUUGCACUGGAGGAUGUGGUCUGCCUCCCCUUGGAGCGACUCCCAAGUACCUGCUUGUAGACCAACUCCUCAACUUCUCCUGUGCGCUGCCGUUAUGUGUGCUGCAAACCACUGCAUCAGCCAUCAGAUGCUGCUUGUACUUCAGCUCCUGCAGCAUAGAAGAGGCUCUGGUGUCAUGCUGCGUAAGCAAAGGGAAGGCUGAGGCAGAAGCCACCUCUGUAGGUCUCAGGAUGUAGUAAUACAAGUGCUUUCUUCAGCAGCAAAGCUGUUUAAAGAACUUUCUACUUCAGGUCACUGCCACUCUGCUGUAUCUCUGCAUCACAGUUUAUUGCAGUCUGAGGAGCCUCUGUUAAAGCAGCUUGGGUCAUGAAAAUGAUCCAGGUGAAAAAUUCCUCUUGCAAAGGCCUUGAGAGUUUGUUUCUUUUGCUUUGUUUUGACUGGAAUCAUUUCACUGUCAACUCUACUUUCUCCUUAGCACAACUGCCAGAUUUGCAAAUAGCAAUGAGUUGCUAUUAGUCAGAAACUCCUCUUCUACUGGCUUUACUACUGAUCAAAACUGUGGAUCGACUACACAACAAGUACCUCCUUAGCACACAAGGCUGAGGGGGCCAGAAGGUAUCGCUCAGCAGCAUCAUUCCAGGAACAGCAAUUUGGUGCCAGUGCAAACAGCGUUCAGCCCUUCAGCUGUGGCUGAAAUGCAAUUUCUGGCAGAAUCAUUUUAAGGAACAGGAUUUAGGGAAAAGUCUUUACUCUGCAGCCUGGUCUACAUUUUGAGAGUCUUGCAGGUCAGCACCUUAAGCGAACCUUGGAAAAACUAUUGUGUGAUCAGUCAUCGCACUGAAGCAGCAGCACCCGUUUGGUAAAGAAACCUGAGCCAGUAAACAUGAUGACUGCAUCUGUAGGUGAAUAUACAAGAAAAUAGUAAAAUUGCAUCUUAAAGUAGUCUUCUGGACAAUGACAUUUUUAUUGCCUGUUAUCUAUGUGCUUCCUGCACACUUAACACUUGAUACCCCAUUCCUUGAGCAGACAGUGCUGCUUCUCUGAACUAACUUGUGGGAAACCAAGAGAAGAACAAGGAGGCACUGAAGAUGCUAGUACAGAACAAUGGAGGCUUUUGAAAAUCACAUUUUUCCCAUAAUCACUGCAAACGUGGGAUAUACAGAUAACCAAGGAAGAACUCUCUUGGGCAUCCAGAAUUUACCCAGAAGCAAUAUCAUAAGAUUCAGCAUUCCUCUCCAUAUAGCUGAAUUUCCAGUGCUGAUGCUCUUCCUCUGAUUAUUAUAGGGAUUACACAACUACUUUUUUAUUGAACCCAUGGAAAAACUCUAUCUAUGCCUCUGUUUUCUCUUUUUCUGUGUAACUAAGCCUAUGGUUCUUAGAUCCCUGGUUGGUGGCAUUUUUAGGUGGUUUGUUAGCCACUACAUUUCCAUUUGUAUCUCCGAGCCCGUCUUCCUCCUAACUUCCCUGCCUGUUGCUGGCCAGGGAUAGGGAGUGAAGCACUAGUGCUGCACCUCUGCCGCAGGCACCCCUUCUCCCUCCCACGAUGGUCGCAUCCCGGGUGCGGAGGAGCAAAAGCAGCUGCUUAAAUCUCUCCCUUCUGCAGGCUUGACCCCCCGGUGCUGAGGGCCCAGCUGAAAGUCACAGGCGGUCCUUUUUUUCCCCAUCUUUCUAGCAGCAGUCAUUCACCUGCUUUGGUGUUUGCCUCUCGGGGAACAAGUUAGGUCACUGACCCAGCCAAAGGUGUACCUUGCUGUGGCAGGGAGCUGUUAGGCUGGACCAGUCGUCACGGUGGUGCGUAUCCUGGGAGGUGCUUGGCUCCCUGGGCACAGAGACACUGCAGGUACCUUGCCAUGCCUUCCCAGGGAGAUAUGCUCUUACCAGCUGAGAAAUGCUGGUUUGCACUAUGGGCAAAUGACUAAGAUAACAGUGGAAGCUUGCCUCAGUGGUAUUUUCCUAGUUUUUUAAAGUCAUCUUUCAUUGUCCGACAGCCUAGAAGGUUACACCUCUUCUGUCACCCUUCUCCCAUUUUGUGGAGUACUUAUUUUAAUGCUCAUCAUUUCAGGCAUCUGAUUUACGAGUGGACCAUAGGCAAUUGUUGCUGCACCACUGGGCAUGGUGGGCUAUGACACCCAGCAGGCACAAGAAGGAGAGGGUGGCUGUGACUGUGUCCUACCCAGCCUUCACCUUCAAACCAGACCUUCACCUUCAAACCAGACCUUCACCUGCUACUGCCAUCAGCUGAGCCACUGCUGGCAACUUAGGUGCUUGGAGCCCAACCACAGGCAAAAUAAAAUGUUAAGUGCUUAAAUCACUAGGAAGAUUGCAUUUUACUUGCCCUUUUUACUGGUCAAAGAGUGCACAUGUAGCAGUGCUUUUAGCCUCAACACCUUGAUCUCCUAGAGCUGUGUGACUGUAUCGUGCAUCACAUGUAAGGAGUUGCUUAUUGGACUCCAGAGGCUGCAAAAUAGUUGAUAUUGCUGCACAAAGGGUGACAACAUGAAAGGAAAUGGAAACAUUCAGGCUGAGAACAGGAAAACUCAUGAGAAUGUAAGAAACGGCCUGAAGAAAAAAGGAGACAAAAAAUGUGAUUUCCAAAACAGUAACCAGAGAUCAAAGGAGGCUGAUGUUCUUUCAAAUCACUGUUUGUGGUGGAUCUGCAGGAGAAGGUUUAAGAACAUUAUUUUGAAAGGUGCUGUGAAAAAUACAGAGUAUUGCAGAGAAGCAAUCGACCCUGUAGUUUUUUUCUUGGCUCUGUUCUUGCCGUUGCCCUCUGCAUUUCUGUGUUGGCCAUGCUGAGUUUUUCUGAGACAAAUGCCACCAUUCGCUUCACUUUAAAUUGUCUUUAAAUUGAGCAGAGAUCAAGCAGUUUUAUCCUCUGAUACAAUCAUAUGCCAUGGAAACUCUCCUUACUCAUUCUCCAAGCUGCCUUGUUUUCUGCUCUGUUGCUAGAUCUAGUUCAAUGCUUUUAAGGCUCGAACUGCACAGAUUUUCCCUUUUAGCUCUAUUCUUCAUCAUAUCCUGAUUGAUUUUAUUGAUUUUGUCCAAUUUCUGUCAAAACAAAUAAUUAGAAAUAUCAAAA
This is a long non-coding RNA of Harpia harpyja (harpy eagle), 3159 nucleotides long. RefSeq lists it as uncharacterized. The record is from RefSeq and is a predicted model, not a curated record. NCBI's taxonomy places the organism in Eukaryota, Metazoa, Chordata, Aves, Accipitriformes, Accipitridae. The transcript is spliced from 3 exons.